CCUACGGGUGGCUGCAGUCGAGAAUCAUUCACAAUGGGGGAAACCCUGAUGGUGCGACGCCGCGUGGGGGAAUGAAGGUCUUCGGAUUGUAAACCUCUUUCAUGUGGGAGCAAAUUAAAAAGAUAGUACCACAAGAGGAAGAGACGGCUAACUCUGUGCCAGCAGCCGCGGUAAUACAGAGGUCUCAAGCGUUAUUCGGAAUCACUGGUCGUAAAGCGUGCGUAGGCUGUUUCGUAAGUCGUGUGUGAAAGGCUCGGGCUCAACCCGAGGACGGCACAUGAUACUGGGAGACUAGAGUAAAGGAGAGGGAACCGGAAUUCUCGGUGUAGCAGUGAAAUGCGGAGAUAUCGAGAAGAACACUCGUGGCGAAGGCGGGUUACUGGACAUCAACUGACGCUGAGGCACGAAGGCCAGGGGAGCGAAAGGGAUUAGAUACCCUAGUAGUC
Molecule: ribosomal RNA, 446 nt
Filed under: uncultured bacterium
Lineage: Bacteria
Description: partial 16S ribosomal RNA
Rfam family: Bacterial small subunit ribosomal RNA
Source: RNAcentral